UACGUAGGUGGCGAGCGUUGUCCGGAUUUACUGGGCGUAAAGAGCGCGCAGGCGGUCGUGCAAGUCGCGUGUGAAAGCCCCCGGCUCAACUGGGGAGGGUCACGCGAUACUGAUCGACUCGAAGGCAGGAGAGGGAAGUGGAAUUCCCGGUGUAGUGGUGAAAUGCGUAGAUAUCGGGAGGAACACCAGUGGCGAAGGCGACUUCCUGGCCUGUUCUUGACGCUGAGGCGCGAAAGCUAGGGGAGCAAACGGG
This 253-nucleotide ribosomal RNA is filed under the name uncultured bacterium. Its description in RNAcentral is "partial 16S ribosomal RNA". It matches the Rfam family "Bacterial small subunit ribosomal RNA", at positions 524 to 776 of the family's 1533-position model. The record is from RNAcentral.